This 499-nucleotide ribosomal RNA is filed under the name uncultured bacterium. RNAcentral describes it as "partial 16S ribosomal RNA". It matches the Rfam family "Bacterial small subunit ribosomal RNA", at positions 899 to 1397 of the family's 1533-position model. The record is from RNAcentral.
ACUCAAAUGAAUAGACGGGGGCCCGCACAAGCGGUGGAGCAUGUGGUUUAAUUCGACGCAACGCGAAGAACCUUACCUGGGCUCGAACGGCUGGUCAACGGCUUUGGAAACAGAGCUACUCCGCAAGGAGGUCCAGUCGAGGUGCUGCAUGGCUGUCGUCAGCUCGUGUCGUGAGAUGUUGGGUUAAGUCCCGCAACGAGCGCAACCCUUGUCCUGUGUUGCUAACCCGAAAGGGUGCACUCUCAGGAGACCGCCAGCGAUAAGUUGGAGGAAGGUGGGGAUGACGUCAAGUCAUCAUGGCCUUUAUGUCCAGGGCUACACACGUGCUACAAUGGGCGGUACAAACCGUUGCAAACCCGCGAGGGGGAGCUAAUCGGAGAAAACCGUUCUCAGUUCGGAUUGCAGGCUGCAACCCGCCUGCAUGAAGCUGGAAUCGCUAGUAAUGGCAUAUCAGAACGAUGCCGUGAAUACGUUCCCGGGCCUUGCACACACCGCCCGU